ACUGCCAGUGAUAAACUGGAGGAAGGUGGGGAUGACGUCAAGUCAUCAUGGCCCUUACGACCAGGGCUACACACGUGCUACAAUGGCGCAUACAAAGAGAAGCGACCUCGCGAGAGCAAGCGGACCUCAUAAAGUGCGUCGUAGUCCGGAUUGGAGUCUGCAACUCGACUCCAUGAAGUCGGAAUCGCUAGUAAUCGUGGAUCAGAAUGCCACGGUGAAUACGUUCCCGGGCCUUGUACACACCGCCCGUCACACCAUGGGAGUGGGUUGCAAAAGAAGUAGGUAGCUUAACCUUCGGGAGGGCGCUUACCACUUUGUGAUUCAUGACUGGGGUGAAGUCGUAACAAGGUAACCGUAGGGGAACCUGCGGUUGGAUCACCUCCUUA
Molecule: ribosomal RNA, 386 nt
Filed under: Escherichia coli
Lineage: Bacteria; Pseudomonadati; Pseudomonadota; Gammaproteobacteria; Enterobacterales; Enterobacteriaceae
Also listed under: 1 other name
Description: bacterial SSU rRNA
Rfam family: Bacterial small subunit ribosomal RNA
Source: RNAcentral